RNAcentral lists this ribosomal RNA (690 nucleotides) under Triticum aestivum (bread wheat). RNAcentral's name for it is "partial small subunit ribosomal RNA". The record is from RNAcentral. Lineage: Eukaryota; Viridiplantae; Streptophyta; Magnoliopsida; Poales; Poaceae.
CUCGACAGCAAGGAAUUCCACAUGUCCAUCUUCGACUGCAGCGGUGUGACGGUCCAAGGCGUCCGGAUCAUCGCGCCGUCUAACAGCCCCAACACCGACGGCAUCCAGGUCAGCCACUCCCGGCACGUGAGCAUCCUCAACACCACCAUCGGCACCGGCGACGACUGCAUCUCCUUGGGGCCCGGCACCUCGGACAUGCUCAUCAGGGACAUCAAGUGCGGUCCGGGCCACGGCAUCAGCAUCGGGAGCCUGGGAUGGCAGGACGGUGAGGAGGGGGUGAGAAACCUGACCGUGGACAGGGCGGUGCUGAAGGGCACGACCAACGACCUGCGGAUCAAGACGUGGGCGAUGCCCAACUCCGGCUUCGUCAAGAACGUCUCCUUCUCGCGGGUCACCAUGAACCGCGUGGCCAACCCCAUCCUCGUCGACCAGAACUACUGCUCCCGCAAGGGCGACUGCCCGGGCAAUAGCUCGGGGGUGCAGAUCAGCGACCUGUCGUACACGGACAUCAAGGGCUCGUCGGCGACGCCCGUGGCGGUGAAGUUCAACUGCAGCGGCACCAACCCCUGCAGCGGGAUCAAGCUCAGGAACAUUAGGCUGAGGUACCGGCACCAGCGGCCGGCGCAGGCCAAGUGCCAAAACGCCGGCGGGUCCGCGUCCGGAGAGGUCACACCGCCGAGCUGCUUCUGA